CCUACGGGAGGCAGCAGUGGGGAAUAUUGCACAAUGGGGGAAACCCUGAUGCAGCGACGCCGCGUGAGUGAAGAAGUAAUUCGUUAUGUAAAGCUCUAUCAGCCGGGAAGAAAUGACGGUACCUGAGUAAGAAGCCCCGGCAAACUACGUGCCAGCAGCCGCGGUAAUACGUCGGGGGCAAGCGUUAUCCGGAUUUACUGGGGGUAACGGGAGCGUAGACGGCAGUGCAAGUCUGGAGUGAAAGGCGGGGGCUCAACCCCCGGACUGCUCUGGAAACUGUACGGCUGGAGUGCAGGAGAGGUAAGUGGAAUUCCUAGUGUAGCGGUGAAAUGCGUAGAUAUUAGGAGGAACACCAGUGGCGAAGGCGGCUUACUGGACUGUAACUGACGUUGAGGCUCGAAAGCGUGGGGAGCAAACAGGAUUAGAUACCCUAGUAGUC
Molecule: ribosomal RNA, 439 nt
Filed under: uncultured bacterium
Lineage: Bacteria
Description: partial 16S ribosomal RNA
Rfam family: Bacterial small subunit ribosomal RNA
Source: RNAcentral